Molecule: ribosomal RNA, 894 nt
Filed under: uncultured Bacillota bacterium
Lineage: Bacteria; Bacillati; Bacillota
Description: bacterial SSU rRNA
Rfam family: Bacterial small subunit ribosomal RNA
Source: RNAcentral
CAAGUCGAACGCGAAAGCUCCCUUCGGGGAGCAAGUAGAGUGGCGCACGGGUGAGUAACACGUAGGUAAUCUACCUUUGGAUGGGGAAUAACACCGAGAAAUCGGUGCUAAUACCGCAUAAUGCAGCGGCACCUAAUGGUGACAGUUGUUAAAGCGGGGGAUCGCAAGACCUCGCGUCUAAAGAGGAGCCUGCGGCGGAUUAGCUAGUUGGUAAGGUAACGGCUUACCAAGGCGAUGAUCCGUAACCGGCCUGAGAGGGCGGUCGGUCACACUGACACUGACAUACGGGUCAGACUCCUACGGGAGGCAGCAGUCGGGAAUUUUGGGCAAUGGGCGAAAGCCUGACCCAGCAACGCCGCGUGAAGGAUGAAAUCCCUCGGGAUGUAAACUUCGCAAGAACGGGAAGAAUAAGUUGGUGUGAAUAUCACCAGCGAUGACGGUACCGUUUGUAAGCUCCGGCUAACUCCGUGCCAGCAGCCGCGGUAAUACGGGGGGAGCAAGCGUUGUUCGGAUUUACUGGGCGUAAAGGGCGGGUAGGCGGCCACCGCAAGUCAGUUGUGAAAUCUCUGGGCUUAACCCAGAAAGGUCAACUGAUACUGCGGGGCUAGAGUGCAGAAGGGGCAACUGGAAUUCUCGGUGUAGCGGUGAAAUGCGUAGAUAUCGAGAGGAACACCUGCGGCGAAGGCGGGUUGCUGGGCUGACACUGACGCUGAACUGCGAAAGCUAGGGGAGCGAACGGGAUUAGAUACCCCGGUAGUCCUAGCCUUAAACGAUGAAUGCUUGGUGUCUGGGGUUUUAUAGUCCCCGGGUUGCCGUCGCUAACGCUUUAAGCAUUCCGCCUGGGGAGUACGGUCGCAAGACUGAAACUCAAAGGAUUGACGGGGACCGCACAAC